Molecule: long non-coding RNA, 377 nt
Organism: Homo sapiens (human)
Lineage: Eukaryota; Metazoa; Chordata; Mammalia; Primates; Hominidae
Source: Ensembl
CUGCUCCGGGCAGCCCCGCGGGUGAGCUGGGUGCGCGCUGGGUGCUUGGGGUCUGGCUCGCUCUCCCAUCCCCGGGCAGACAGCUGCACGGGUGGCCUCGUGGUCCAUGGCCUCCGGCUGGGCCGGGGAAAGCCGUUUCGCGGAGCACGCCCGGCGGGUAAGGACAGGGAGGCGGUGCCACCUGGCCCUGGACCACCGAGGCCAAGGUCUCACAGGAAGCUCAGCCUCCAGCCCCUGCAGAUCCGCACGGCAGCCGCAGACAUCCUGAGGACGACGCGUCCUGGGGUCCCAGCUGCACGAGGCUCAGGACAGAGCUGGGGGUGUCAGCGACAAUAUUUCCCUCGCUCGUACAUUCCUUGGUAAUAAAAACACAAGCG